This is a long non-coding RNA of Magallana angulata, 253 nucleotides long. RefSeq lists it as uncharacterized. The transcript has 3 exons. The record is from RefSeq and is a predicted model, not a curated record. NCBI's taxonomy places the organism in Eukaryota, Metazoa, Mollusca, Bivalvia, Ostreida, Ostreidae.
AGUGUCUCCUUCCUUGCAGAAGCAUUUGUAUUAACUGCUGUUGUGGUAGCAGAAGAUUCUUUUAAACAGUUGUGUGGACGGGAAACGUACGGAUGUUGCCUGUCUUGGUCUACAACAGACAAGGAAAUAUGUAAUGAUUGCAAAGACGGAUAUUUUGGAAGUAAAUGCGAAAAGCUAUGUCGCUAUCCGAACUAUGGAAAACUUUGCCAGUUUCACUGCAAUUGUACAGAAGAGGAUUGUGACCACAUUUCUG